This 420-nucleotide ribosomal RNA is filed under the name Triticum aestivum (bread wheat). Its description in RNAcentral is "partial small subunit ribosomal RNA". The record is from RNAcentral. Lineage: Eukaryota; Viridiplantae; Streptophyta; Magnoliopsida; Poales; Poaceae.
AUGGACGUGGAGAUCCAGCGGCCGCGGGAGGUGGGCAGCUGCAGGGUGGUCAAGGUGGACAAGGAGGCCGCCUGGGAGCUCUUCACCACCCAGGCCGCCAACGAAGGCCGCACUGUCGCCGCUCACUUUGGGGCGUCGUGGUGCGUCACGUCCCUGUCCAUGAACUACAAGUUCGAGGAGCUCGCCCAGACCCACCCAGACAUGCUCUUCCUCUUCGUCGACGUCGAUGAUGUCCCGGGCGUGUCUUCCAAGCUGGGGGUGAAGGCCAUGCCCACCUUCUUCCUCAUCAAGGGCAAGGAGGUGGUGAAGAAGAUCGUCGGUGCCAACCCGGACGAGCUCCACAAGAUGGUGGACGCCUCCGACGACGAUUCGCUCGGCUCUGCUGUGACCACUCUCCCUGACAUAGUCAUCGAAAAAUAG